UACGUAGGGGGCAAGCGUUAUCCGGAAUCACUGGGCGUAAAGGGCGUCUAGGCGGCAAGGCAAGUCUCGCGUAAAAGCUCCCGGCUCAACUGGGAGAGCGCGCGGGAAACUGCCUGGCUAGAGACUCGGAGAGGGGUGUGGAAUUCCCGGUGGAGUGGUGAAAUGCGUUGAGAUCGGGAGGAACACCAGUAGCGAAGGCGGCACCCUGGCCGAGUUCUGACGCUGAAGCGCGACAGCGUGGGGAGCAAACGGG
This 253-nucleotide ribosomal RNA is filed under the name uncultured bacterium. RNAcentral describes it as "partial 16S ribosomal RNA". It matches the Rfam family "Bacterial small subunit ribosomal RNA", at positions 524 to 776 of the family's 1533-position model. The record is from RNAcentral.